RNAcentral lists this long non-coding RNA (329 nucleotides) under Elaeis guineensis (African oil palm). Its description in RNAcentral is "long non-coding RNA (EGUI_LNC044315)". Lineage: Eukaryota; Viridiplantae; Streptophyta; Magnoliopsida; Arecales; Arecaceae. The record is from RNAcentral.
AUUGGAUCUCCUUCUUCGAUUGCCUCGAAUCAUUUUGAUAUUGAAGAUGGAUCAGAGGAGAAUAUUGUAUGGUAGAGAAAAAUUUAAUGAAGACUCUCCUCUCUUUGGUUUUUUCCUCACCCAAAAUUUCUAGAAUAGUUCUAGGUCUCUCACCCGAUAGGAGAUCGAUCUCCUCCUUUGUUCAUGCCAAGAAAGAUAGAAGCCCACCCAAACCUCACACCCCAAAGAAGUAUUUUAGCCCCUCUUUCCCUCUAAUAUCUCAUGGUAAAAAUCUCUCAUCAGUUGGCACACAAAAUUGCAGUCUUUUUAUAGUUAUCGCACAAAUCAGG